Long non-coding RNA from Cottoperca gobio, 558 nucleotides. RefSeq lists it as uncharacterized. The transcript is spliced from 3 exons. NCBI's taxonomy places the organism in Eukaryota, Metazoa, Chordata, Actinopteri, Perciformes, Bovichtidae. The record is from RefSeq and is a predicted model, not a curated record.
UUGUUGGAUCCGAACACGUAACGGGGUUAAUUUUUGGAAUCUACUGACUCAACUGGAUUUGGGAUCAAGAUCUGACACUGGAAAACCAAACAGAUCACCAGAUAUUGCCAUUCUACCUUUCCUACGAGUUCCCCAGAACUGCCAACGGACAUACAAGCUGAUGUCCUCUGACCCUGAUGGCGACAAAGUUCGAUGCAGAUAUGGAAGUAUCAGAAAUAUAGAAUGUUCCAACUGUAACCUACCUUCAGGCUUCGUGUUAGAUCAGGACUCUUGCUUAUUACACUACCGCUACACCAAUGCCAACCCAAGAGUUAAUGCAUUUGAGUUGGUGGUGGAGGACUUCCCACAAAGACCCAUCUCUCUGUCCUACUCUGAUGGAACCCAAUCCCACAAGUCUCCACUGAGUGCAAGGAGGAACAGACGAGCCAUAAACCACGGGUCUACUGCAGCACCAACAACUGUAGCACCAACAACAGCAGCACCAACAACUGCAGCACCAACAACUGUAGCACCAACAACUGUAGCACCAACAACAGCAGCACCAACAACUGUAGCACC